This 230-nucleotide long non-coding RNA is filed under the name Mytilus galloprovincialis (Mediterranean mussel). The record is from RNAcentral. Lineage: Eukaryota; Metazoa; Mollusca; Bivalvia; Mytilida; Mytilidae.
GGCUGUUUUGGUAAUAUUAUUUUGGUGUGGCUCGGUACUACAACAUCGCAUAUUGUGUUAUUGUGCUUUUGUCAUUUUUGUAUGCAUGUCUUUAACAUGUUUAACUUUUGAUUAUCGUCGCUGGGCUUCUAAAAUGUCGAAUAUGACUUUUUUGGCGAAAAAUACUUUUUGACACCAAUGGUCUGGGCGGGAGGAAAUCUUUGGUAUUACAAAAUAGCAUACAAUUAGAC